This 400-nucleotide ribosomal RNA is filed under the name uncultured bacterium. RNAcentral describes it as "bacterial SSU rRNA". It matches the Rfam family "Bacterial small subunit ribosomal RNA", at positions 355 to 772 of the family's 1533-position model. The record is from RNAcentral.
UGGGGAAUAUUGGACAAUGGGCGAAAGCCUGAUCCAGCGACGCCGCGUGGGUGAUGAAGGCCUUCGGGUUGUAAAGCCCUUUCGUCAGGGAAGAUUAUGACGGUACCUGAAAAAGAAGCUCCGGCUAACUUCGUGCCAGCAGCCGCGGUAAUACGAAGGGAGCUAGCGUUACUCGGAAUUAUUGGGCGUAAAGCGUGCGUAGACGGCUUUGUAAGUCAGAAGUGAAAGCCUGGGGCUCAACCUCAGAAUUGCUUUUGAAACUGCAUAGCUAGAGUGUGAGAGGGGAUGGCGGAAUUCCUAGUGUAGAGGUGAAAUUCGUAGAUAUUAGGAGGAACACCGGUGGCGAAGGCGGCCAUCUGGCUCACAACUGACGUUGUUGCACGAAAGCGUGGGGAGCAAA